This 406-nucleotide unclassified non-coding RNA is filed under the name soil metagenome. RNAcentral's name for it is "partial contains 5.8S ribosomal RNA, internal transcribed spacer 2, and large subunit ribosomal RNA". The stretch from base 1 to 121 matches the Rfam family "5.8S ribosomal RNA", at positions 35 to 154 of the family's 154-position model. The record is from RNAcentral.
GAUGAAGAACGCAGCGAAAUGCGAUAAGUAAUGUGAAUUGCAGAAUUCAGUGAAUCAUCGAAUCUUUGAACGCACCUUGCGCCCUUUGGCCAUUCCGAAGGGCAUGCCUGUUCGAGUAUCAUGAACACCUCAACUCUUCAUGGUUUUCCGUGAUGAGCUUGGACUUUGGGGGUCUUGCUGGCCUAUGGUCAGCUCCUCUAAAAUAAAUCAGCUUGCCAGUGUUUGGUGGGUAUCACAGGUGUGAUAACUAUCUACGCUUGUGGUUUUCCACCAGGUAACCUUCAGCAGUGGAGGUUCGCUGGAGCUCACAGAUGUGUCUCUCCUCAGUGAGGACAGCUCUUUGAAUGUUUGAUCUCAAAUCAGGUAGGACUACCCGCUGAACUUAAGCAUAUCAAUAAGCGGAGGA